RNAcentral lists this long non-coding RNA (487 nucleotides) under Mytilus galloprovincialis (Mediterranean mussel). The record is from RNAcentral. Lineage: Eukaryota; Metazoa; Mollusca; Bivalvia; Mytilida; Mytilidae.
UGGGCUUUGUGUUUAAGGCGAGGUGCCAUCAGGAGGUUAAGAUUUGAAGUCAGCAAUAUUGAGACCAUGCAACACGUGUUUGUUUUUGAAAAUGUUGGUUGUGAAUUGGUUCAUCAAUAGGGUCAAUUUUACUUUCUACCAAGUACGCAUAUGGUGAAGACGUUUUUUUCACUACGUAGAUUGUGCAAGUAAUUUUUUUUAAUUCCAAUUCAAAUUGAAGGUCAUAUGCCUUGCAAUCUAUCAGAAACUUUUAAAUGUGUUUUAGUGUAAUGUAUGCUUACAAUGUGUCCAGGUAAUAUAAAAUAUUUCGAAAAUUAUUUAAACGAUUUCGAUUUUUCUUUUGUUUUAGGAUUACUUUGUGUUUCUUCUUCAUGUGUUUCAUCUUUUUUUUUUUUUGAAUCCAAAGCUUAUAUUCUGGUUUAAAAAUAAAGAUACUAUCCUGUGCAGACUUCACUCGUGCACUAUACAUUUCUUGUGCAUAAAUAUG